Molecule: ribosomal RNA, 301 nt
Filed under: uncultured bacterium
Lineage: Bacteria
Description: partial 16S ribosomal RNA
Rfam family: Bacterial small subunit ribosomal RNA
Source: RNAcentral
CAGUAGCCGCGGUAAUACGGAGGGAGCUAGCGUUGUUCGGAAUUACUGGGCGUAAAGCGCGCGUAGGCGGUUACUCAAGUCAGAGGUGAAAGCCCGGGGCUCAACCCCGGAACUGCCUUUGAAACUAGGUGACUAGAAUCUUGGAGAGGUCAGUGGAAUUCCGAGUGUAGAGGUGAAAUUCGUAGAUAUUCGGAAGAACACCAGUGGCGAAGGCGACUGACUGGACAAGUAUUGACGCUGAGGUGCGAAAGCGUGGGGAGCAAACAGGAUUAGAUACCCGUGUAGUCCCUGUCUCUUAUAA